This 492-nucleotide ribosomal RNA is filed under the name uncultured bacterium. RNAcentral describes it as "partial 16S ribosomal RNA". It matches the Rfam family "Bacterial small subunit ribosomal RNA", at positions 29 to 507 of the family's 1533-position model. The record is from RNAcentral.
AGUGAACGCUGGCGGUAGGCCUAACACAUGCGAGUCGAACGGCAGCACAGUAAGAGCUUGCUCUUACGGGUGGCGAGUGGCGGACGGGUGAGGAAUACAUCGGAAUCUACUUUUUCGUGGGGGAUAACAUAGGGAAACUUACGCUAAUACCGCAUACGACCUACGGGUGAAAGCAGGGGAUCUUCGGACCUUGCGCGAUUGAAUGAGCCGAUGUCGGAUUAGCUAGUUGGCGGGGUAAAGGCCCACCAAGGCGACGAUCCGUAGCUGGUCUGAGAGGAUGAUCAGCCACACUGGAACUGAGACACGGUCCAGACUCCUACGGGAGGCAGCAGUGGGGAAUAUUGGACAAUGGGCGCAAGCCUGAUCCAGCCAUACCGCGUGGGUGAAGAAGGCCUUCGGGUUGUAAAGCCCUUUUGUUGGGAAAGAAAAGCAGCAGGUUAAUACCCCGCUGUUCUGACGGUACCCAAAGAAUAAGCACCGGCUAACUUCGUG